UGUCAGCAGCCGCGGUAAUACGGAGGGUGCAAGCGUUGUUCGGAAUUACUGGGCGUAAAGCGCGCGUAGGCGGUUUGUUAAGUCAGAUGUGAAAGCCCCAGGCUUAACCUGGGACGUGCAUUUGAAACUGACAGACUUGAGUAUUGGAGGGGGUGGUGGAAUUCCCGGUGUAGAGGUGAAAUUCGUAGAUAUCGGGAGGAAUACCGGUGGCGAAGGCGACCACCUGGCCAAAUACUGACGCUGAGGUGCGAAGGCGUGGGGAGCAAACAGGAUUAGAUACCCUGGUAGUCCACGCGGUAAACGAUGAGAACUAGGUGUUGGGACGGUUGAUCGUCUCAUUGCCGCAGCUAACGCAUUAAGUUCUCCGCCUGGGGAGUACGGUCGCAAGAUUAAAACUCAAAUGAAUUGGCGG
Molecule: ribosomal RNA, 412 nt
Filed under: uncultured Desulfocapsa sp.
Lineage: Bacteria; Pseudomonadati; Thermodesulfobacteriota; Desulfobulbia; Desulfobulbales; Desulfocapsaceae
Description: bacterial SSU rRNA
Rfam family: Bacterial small subunit ribosomal RNA
Source: RNAcentral